GGCGAACGGGUGAGUAAUGCAUCGGAACGUGCCCAGUCGUGGGGGAUAACGCAGCGAAAGCUGCGCUAAUACCGCAUACGAUCUAUGGAUGAAAGCGGGGGACCGUAAGGCCUCGCGCGAUUGGAGCGGCCGAUGUCAGAUUAGGUAGUUGGUGGGGUAAAGGCUCACCAAGCCAACGAUCUGUAGCUGGUCUGAGAGGACGACCAGCCACACUGGAACUGAGACACGGUCCAGACUCCUACGGGAGGCAGCAGUGGGGAAUUUUGGACAAUGGGCGCAAGCCUGAUCCAGCAAUGCCGCGUGCAGGAAGAAGGCCUUCGGGUUGUAAACUGCUUUUGUACGGAACGAAACGGUCCUGGUUAAUACCUGGGGCUAAUGACGGUACCGUAAGAAUAAGCACCGGCUAACUACGUGCCAGCAGCCGCGGUAAUACGUAGGGUGCAAGCGUUAAUCGGAAUUACUGGGCGUAAAGCGUGCGCAGGCGGUUUUGUAAGACAGUCGUGAAAUCCCCGGGCUCAACCUGGGAAUUGCGAUUGUGACUGCAAAGCUGGAGUGCGGCAGAGGGGGAUGGAAUUCCGCGUGUAGCAGUGAAAUGCGUAGAUAUGCGGAGGAACACCGAUGGCGAAGGCAAUCCCCUGGGCCUGCACUGACGCUCAUGCACGAAAGCGUGGGGAGCAAAC
This 680-nucleotide ribosomal RNA is filed under the name uncultured bacterium. RNAcentral describes it as "bacterial SSU rRNA". It matches the Rfam family "Bacterial small subunit ribosomal RNA", at positions 97 to 773 of the family's 1533-position model. The record is from RNAcentral.